UCUGACCCCAUGCCGAACUCAGAAGUGAAACGCCGUAGCGCCGAUGGUAGUGUGGGGUCUCCCCAUGCGAGAGUAGGGAACUGCCAGGC
This 89-nucleotide ribosomal RNA is filed under the name Shigella sp. The record is from RNAcentral. Lineage: Bacteria; Pseudomonadati; Pseudomonadota; Gammaproteobacteria; Enterobacterales; Enterobacteriaceae.